Molecule: ribosomal RNA, 504 nt
Filed under: uncultured bacterium
Lineage: Bacteria
Description: partial 16S ribosomal RNA
Rfam family: Bacterial small subunit ribosomal RNA
Source: RNAcentral
AUUGAACGCUGGCGGCAGGCCUAACACAUGCAAGUCGAACGGUAGCACAGAGAGCUUGCCCUCGGGUGACGAGUGGCGGACGGGUGAGUAAUGUCUGGGAAACUGCCCGAUGGAAGGGGAUAACUACUGGAAACGGUAGCUAAUACCGCAUAACGUCGCAAGACCAAAGUGGGGGACCUUCGGGCCUCACACCAUCGGAUGUGCCCAGAUGGGAUUAGCUAGUAGGUGGGGUAAUGGCUCACCUAGGCGACGAUCCCUAGCUGGUCUGAGAGGAUGACCAGCCACACUGGAACUGAGACACGGUCCAGACUCCUACGGGAGGCAGCAGUGGGGAAUAUUGCACAAUGGGCGCAAGCCUGAUGCAGCCAUGCCGCGUGUAUGAAGAAGGCCUUCGGGUUGUAAAGUACUUUCAGCGGGGAGGAAGGCGGUGAAGUUAAUAGCUUCACCGAUUGACGUUACCCGCAGAAGAAGCACCGGCUAACUCCGUGCCAGCCGCCGCCGUAA